UACGUAGGGGGCAAGCGUUGUCCGGAAUUAUUGGGCGUAAAGAGCGUGUAGGCGGCUUUACAGGUCCGUUGUGAAAACUCGAGGCUCAACCUCGAGACGCCGGUGGAAACCGUAAAGCUAGAGUCCGGAAGAGGAGAGUGGAAUUCCUGGUGUAGCGGUGAAAUGCGCAGAUAUCAGGAGGAACACCCGUGGCGAAAGCGGCUCUCUGGGACGGUACUGACGCUGAGACGCGAAAGCGUGGGGAGCAAACAGG
RNAcentral lists this ribosomal RNA (253 nucleotides) under uncultured bacterium. Its description in RNAcentral is "partial 16S ribosomal RNA". It matches the Rfam family "Bacterial small subunit ribosomal RNA", at positions 524 to 776 of the family's 1533-position model. The record is from RNAcentral.